GAUGAACGCUGGCGGCGUGCCUAAUACAUGCAAGUCGAGCGAACAGACGAGGAGCUUGCUCCUCUGACGUUAGCGGCGGACGGGUGAGUAACACGUGGAUAACCUACCUAUAAGACUGGGAUAACUUCGGGAAACCGGAGCUAAUACCGGAUAAUAUAUUGAACCGCAUGGUUCAAUAGUGAAAGACGGUUUUGCUGUCACUUAUAGAUGGAUCCGCGCCGCAUUAGCUAGUUGGUAAGGUAACGGCUUACCAAGGCAACGAUGCGUAGCCGACCUGAGAGGGUGAUCGGCCACACUGGAACUGAGACACGGUCCAGACUCCUACGGGAGGCAGCAGUAGGGAAUCUUCCGCAAUGGGCGAAAGCUUGACGGAGCAACGCCGCGUGAGUGAUGAAGGUAUUCGGAUCGUAAAACUCUGUUAUUAGGGAAGAACAAAUGUGUAAGUAACUAUGCACGUCUUGACGGUACCUAAUCAGAAAGCCACGGCUAACUACGUG
RNAcentral lists this ribosomal RNA (497 nucleotides) under uncultured bacterium. Its description in RNAcentral is "partial 16S ribosomal RNA". It matches the Rfam family "Bacterial small subunit ribosomal RNA", at positions 28 to 507 of the family's 1533-position model. The record is from RNAcentral.